GGGAGGCCCGGCGUCCUGGGGGGUGGGGGCUCAGCCUGCACCACUCUUCCCCCCCCCCCCGCGACCACCCUCAAGAUCCUCCUGGUUCUGGAAGCCAGUGGGCUAGACCCCCACUCCCGAGGCACCAUGGAAUCUCUGCUCUCCGCAUGUCUGUUCCCUCCCCUUCCGGCACCCUUCCUGCACCCUGCCCAGGCCAGUGGGCACCUCAGACCUGUCUGCCUACGGCCGGUGCCCUCACCCGAACCCCUAACCCCGUCCCUGGGGGUAGAGGGACGUCCCCUUUAGCACCUGUUAUUCUAAAAGGUCCGGUCAAUGCGUUCCCGGCUCGCAGCAUGGCCUGGGGCAGGGCAAGUCCCUCCGGGCCUGGGCCCUGUGCAUCUCACUGUGCCUCGGGGCGGACAGGGGAGCUCAGGUGCCCCGCUGGCCCCAGCAGGCCCAGGGUAGCUGGGGCUUCCUUGUGGAGAAGAGAAGCUGGCAGUGGGCCAGGCUGCCCAAGGCUCUGUGUUCGGCAGUGGCGAAGGAGUGGCAGCUCGUGUUGGCAGAGCCUCAGCAGGAACUUUGGCCAGCAGGCUCUGCCCUGCUCACACCUCUUUCUGCCGCCUGGAUCUGCCUGAGCCUGUGGCCAAGCUGAGCCCCUGUGGGCUGGCUCUCACUGCCCCUGCAGUAAAAGCCCCCGAUUCUCUGUUCGAAGGCUGGGGCCAUUUCCUGAUCUUUGAACAUGCCCAUCACUGCACCGCAGUCAAGAUACAAAAUUAUUCCAUCAUCGCAAAGAUCUCCCUCAUGCUACCUCUUUAAGAUCAAACUCACCACCUCUCCCCACUCCCCCGCCAUUGCUCCUAACCCCUGGAAACCACCAUUUUGUUUUUCUUCUAUGUAACUUUGUCAUUUCUAGAAUACUGCAUAAAAAGAAUAAUAAAGUAUGUGACCUUUGAA
Long non-coding RNA from Neofelis nebulosa (Clouded leopard), 933 nucleotides. RefSeq lists it as uncharacterized. The transcript has 3 exons. The record is from RefSeq and is a predicted model, not a curated record. NCBI's taxonomy places the organism in Eukaryota, Metazoa, Chordata, Mammalia, Carnivora, Felidae.